Mizuhopecten yessoensis (Yesso scallop) is the source of this 816-nucleotide long non-coding RNA. RefSeq lists it as uncharacterized. NCBI's taxonomy places the organism in Eukaryota, Metazoa, Mollusca, Bivalvia, Pectinida, Pectinidae. The record is from RefSeq and is a predicted model, not a curated record. The transcript has 3 exons.
UUACACAGUGUGAGGACAACCAUGUUACGGAUAGUCGGCUUAGUUUUCGCUUGCGUCGUCGUCAUUUCUUAUACAGCUUUCGCAGUAGAUAAGUUUAUUGUCGAUUCAAUACUGUCAUAGGUGCGUAAUGAUGGAGAGGGCUGCAGACAGGAGGUUUCUCUCCUCUGUUGCACCAUUUCAACACUUCGGAUCCUUCUCGUUUUUUGCGGUAACACGUUUUGUAUAUUUUCUAAUGAGCUGUUGUGAACCAACUUAACACCAAAAUUACCUUUGUUUUGACUUUUUACAUUUUUAUUUUUAGGGGCAAGUGGCCAAUUUAGGAAGUGCACUCUUUAUUUCGCGAAUGAGAAUCUGCCAGGUAUAGAAAAUGGUGACCGAUUAUGUUUCCAAAGUCAAAGGGUUCAAAUUUGUCGGAAUACAUCUUGUCCGGACCUAUCUUGUGAUAGUCCACAGCCACCCUCAACAUUCAGUAACUGCCGGUUUUGCCCAGGUAUGGAUAUGAAGCGAGAUUACCAUUUUUCUGCUCCAAGUUCUAGAGAUGACAUUUCUCCAAUAAACCUAUCUGGCAGUGACGCAUAUAUGUAUGUGUCUGUGCGUCAGAAUUUCUUCCAAGAGUGUCAGUGUAUUGACAGAUGGUGCUAGUACCUGUGUUCAAGAAACACUAAGGACAAUGUCAUAUCUUUUUCUCGGUUUAUAUUACAUAAUACUUUAUGUACAUCUAUUAAUGUGGUGUGGCGUAUCGUUUUCUUUUCGUUGUGUUAUAAACGGUCGGGACUGGAAUGAGGCGAGUAUAUGUGCUGUAACUAAUUAUUUCAA